This 426-nucleotide ribosomal RNA is filed under the name uncultured prokaryote. Its description in RNAcentral is "bacterial SSU rRNA". It matches the Rfam family "Bacterial small subunit ribosomal RNA", at positions 355 to 796 of the family's 1533-position model. The record is from RNAcentral.
UGGGGAAUUUUCCGCAAUGGGCGAAAGCCUGACGGAGCAAUACCGCGUGAGGGAGGAAGGCUCUUGGGUUGUAAACCUCUUUUCUCAGGGAAGAAGCUCUGACGGUACCUGAGGAAUAAGCAUCGGCUAACUCCGUGCCAGCAGCCGCGGUAAUACGGAGGAUGCAAGCGUUAUCCGGAAUUAUUGGGCGUAAAGCGUCCGCAGGUGGUUUUUCAAGUCUGCUGUCAAAGACUGGAGCUUAACUCCGGAAAGGCGGUGGAAACUGGGAAACUAGAGUCCGGUAGGGGUAGCGGGAAUUCCCAGUGUAGCGGUGAAAUGCGUAGAGAUUGGGAAGAACAUCGGUGGCGAAAGCGCGCUACUGGGCCGGAACUGACACUCAGGGACGAAAGCUAGGGGAGCGAAAGGGAUUAGAUACCCCCGUAGUCC